This 433-nucleotide ribosomal RNA is filed under the name uncultured bacterium. Its description in RNAcentral is "partial 16S ribosomal RNA". It matches the Rfam family "Bacterial small subunit ribosomal RNA", at positions 29 to 507 of the family's 1533-position model. The record is from RNAcentral.
AGCGAACGCUGGCGGCAGGCCUAACACAUGCAAGUCGAACGAACUCUUCGGAGUUAGUGGCGGACGGGUGAGUAACACGUGGGAACGUGCCUUUUGGUUCGGAAUAACUCAGGGAAACUUGUGCUAAUACCGAAUGUGCCCUUCGGGGGAAAGAUUUAUCGCCAUUAGAGCGGCCCGCGUCUGAUUAGCUAGUUGGUGAGGUAACGGCUCACCAAGGCGACGAUCAGUAGCUGGUCUGAGAGGAUGACCAGCCACACUGGGACUGAGACACGGCCCAGACUCCUACGGGAGGCAGCAGUGGGGAAUCUUGCGCAAUGGGCGAAAGGCUGACGCAGCCAUGCCGCGUGAAUGAUGAAGGUCUUAGGAUUGUAAAAUUCUUUCACCGGGGACGAUAAUGACGGUACCCGGAGAAGAAGCCCCGGCUAACUUCGUG